This 19484-nucleotide long non-coding RNA is filed under the name Citrus x clementina. Its description in RNAcentral is "Citrus clementina (C. clementina) long non-coding RNA (CCLE_LNC002331)". The record is from RNAcentral. Lineage: Eukaryota; Viridiplantae; Streptophyta; Magnoliopsida; Sapindales; Rutaceae.
UUUGAUAAGAAGGAGGAAGGAGGAGAAAGGAGGAAGAACGAGGACGAUCAACUUCUUCUUGAAGCCUUGCGACCACCCCUGGAUUUAAAGGAAUUACAGAUACGGUACUACCAAGGCAACACUGUUUCCCCAGCUGGAUGACGUCAUUAAUCAAUUUAAGGAGUUUAGAUCCCUCUUUGUGCGAAAAUUGCGAGCAGCUGUCUCCUUUGGGAAAAUUGCCGUCCGUCCUUUGAAAAACUCAGCCUAUUGCACAUGCGGAGUGUGAAAAGAGUGGGUGAUGAAUGUUUGGGGAUAGAAAGUGAUCAUCGUGGCUCAUCUUCAUCUUCAUUAGUUAUUAUUGCCUUCCCUAAAUUGAAAUCACUCACAAUUUCUACAAUAAUGGAAUUGGAGGAGUGGGAUUAUGGGAUUACAAGAACGGGAAACACCGUCAUCAACAUCAUGCCACGUCUUUCUUCCUUGGAAAUUGUUGCCUGCCCCAACUUAAAGGCACUGCCCGACCACAUUCAUCAAACGACAACAUUGAAGGAAUUGCGCAUUGUGCAUUGUGGGCUUCUGGAAGAACGUUACCGCACGGGGGAAGGAGAAGACUGGCCAAAGAUAUCUCACAUUCCCAACCUCGAGAUUUGGCCUUGACAAGUAAUUCCUUCUCUUACUCUGAUUUGCUUUGUUGUUCUUUUUAAUCUAAUCAAGAAGCAUAAAUAGCAUUUUGAAUUAAACUCUAUAUCAGAAAUCUGCAAUACAUAUUUUCUAAUAUUCUGAUUUUCAUAUCUUAUGAAUGUACGAUUCUAAUUUGCAAUAUUUAACGUUGCUGUAAAAUAUUAUUAAUGCAAUAUGAGUAAUUCUUUUGCAGGACAAGUGACCUACGUUUAGUUUGGCUUUGGAGUUGAGUAAUAACCUUUCGAGGUCGCCACUAUAAAAAAGCGAAGCUCAAUUUGCCACAGAUUACAUGUAUUGCCAUCAUUGACAAUUUUCUGGAUAAGUGAUGAAGGGUGAGAAUGGUGCUAGAAUAUUGAAUAAAGCUGUCGUGACAGAACUUUGGUUGAUGUCAAAAGGGGUAAAUUAUUGGCAUGCCUAGCUAAUUUGACCAAUACCUGAUUCAUAAGCCCACAUCAAUUUUGAUUUUGAGUUGAGUGAUUAAUUUUGAAGGUUUGCUUACUUAACUGGUAACCAAUUUCUUUUAACUAAAUGUAUCAUAUGAUGCAGGAAGCAGGGCAUGAUAUGAAAUGAGAAGCUUAUUAGUGGAAGGAUUGUCAGAAACAGAACCCAAAGAAAAUGAAAACAUUUCGAGGCAGCAGUUGGCAGUUGGCCGUGAAUGGAGCCCAUUGAAAAAAUUCCAAACCCAUUGCACUGCAAUUACGAUCGUGAGUAUGAUUGCACUGCAAUUUCGAAGCUUCUUCUCCUCCAUUUUUGUUAUUUGAUAUCAAGUGACAUCCGUAAGUAUGAUUGCAUUAAGCUGCUGCUGGGAAAUAUGAGGUUUUGAUGGCUGCCCAUGCUAUUGUCAGAAGCUGCGGUUCUUUUCAUCAGCCUGAACCUGGACCUGUCGCCAUGGAUAACUCAGGUUUUUUUUUUUUAAUCAACUACGUCAUCUUUUCCACUGUUUUGAAACCCUUAAGAUUAAACUUUAUUAAAGUUGUUUUAGUUAUCCAUGUAAUCAGGCUGAGGAUACUUAGCUGCCUAUUUAGGCAAAUGUCAGAAUUUAGUUUGUUCGCUGGGAACUGGUGUGGUGACAGCGUCCUGGCAAAGGAUGAUGAGAUAGUUUUUUGAUUGAAUAAAUUUUGGGAGCUUGAGUGUAUUGGGAUUUGCAAUUACAAUCAUCCUCUGCUUCAGGUGAUUUCUUCUCUUGCUCUGUCAUUGUUUGUUCUCUAAUUCAAAAGCAUAAAAUAUUUCAAUCAAUUUUUAUACCAGGAAUAUGCGAAAGUUUCUAAUAUUUUAUUUCCAUCUGUUUGCAUUGAUAACUUUGCGGCAUAUGUACUACUUAAAGAACAAUAGAAACAGAGCUCAGUUAAAAGUUUCUUCUGCCAUCAUAUUUGAAAAAUGAACCCAUUUCCAGGAAGCAAUUAACAGCAAAUUCAUAUAAAGUGUGGACAAUGAUGACAAAAGGGUGAUUAACAAUUUCAUUUUUUAUGAAAUUAAUCGUCUGGUUGGAGCUGAUAUUGUUAGAAGGCCAUUGAGCUAACCUAUGUCACUACUUGCCUAGAUUGCAGGGGGUCAAAACUCAAAAGAGGCAUUGAAUUUUUAAAGGCAUCCAACAAUUCUUGUGGCCAUAUAUCAAUUCAUGUAAGUUUGAAUGCAAUUAUUGGUGAAGUGGUUUCACUUCCUGUCUCUGAAUAAAAAUACUGAUUCUUUAAGGUACAUGGCACUAGGGAUUGCGAUAUUAACGAGUCUUCGAGCAUUGGAAGAGCUCCAUGUGAGUGGAGGAGGAGGUGUUGAUGGUAGCAAAGCAUGUGGGCAGUGGGCUUGAAUCUCUUAAAAACUUGGAACUCCUCCAAGCGUAAGUAUCCGUAUACUGGGAAAUGUGUUAGAUGUGGAUGAGGCUAAGAGAUUAGAGCUUGACAAAAUGAAAUACCUCUUUCGUUGAGACUUAAAUUUGAUGGGGAAGAAGAAAAAGAAGAGGGAAGGAGGAAGAAUGAGGAUAAUCAACUUGUUCUUGAAGCCUUGCAACCACCUCUGAAUUUGAAGGAAUUAGAGAUUUGGUCAUACAGAGGCAACAUUGCUUCCCCCAGGAUGAUGCAAAAAUUGAAGGAAUUUACCAAUCUAAGGAGUUUGAUACUGUAAAAACUGCAAAAACUUGAGAGCAGUUGCCUCCUUUGGGAAAAUUGUGAUCCUUUGAAAAUCUCAGCAUAUUGUACAUGGAGAGUGUGAGAACAGUGGGUAAUGAAUUUCUGGGAAUAGAAAGUGAUCUUCAUGACUCAUCUUCAUCUUCAUCAGUUAUUAUUGCCUUCCCCAAAUUGAAAUCACUUUCAGUUGAGGGAUUGAUGGAAUUGGAGGAGUGGGAUUAUGGGAUUAAAAGAACAGGAAACACCUUCACCAACAUUAUGCCACGUCUUUCUUCCUUGGAAAUUAGUGUGGGGUUAUGGGAUCGCACAACGACGUUGAAGGUAUUGCAGAUUGUGGCAUGUGGUACUCUAAGAAGACGUUACAGACAGGGUAGAGCAGAAGACUGGCCUAAGUUCUCUCACAUUCCAGACAUCAUGAUUGUGUGAAAAGAUGCCCUUGACAAAAUUCUCUAGGCGGCUACAUGGAGUACAAUCAUAAAAUGCUAAUGUGGCCACCCUGGUUCUUAAUUAAGGUUGUGAAAUAUUAUUGUAAAAGAUGAUUAAUUCAAUUUGAGUCAUUCGUUUGCUUUGAUAAUGAUAGUAAUUUUAUAUUUUGACAAUUUGCAAGGUGAGAAUGGUGCUGAUUGGUGAUACAGGAUAUGGUUCAAACACCAUUGAAUAAAGCUACGGACAUGGUGGCUCAACUUAGCUAGACUGCUGUCAAAAUUGGUAAGUUGGCUUGUCAAUGUAUUGAUGCUUUUGUUUUCUCUCAACCCUAAUUACCUUACCUUCAUUUAGUUUGGCUUUGGAGUUGAGUAAUAACUUUCAAGGUUCUCAAACAGAGCAGGACAACCGAAAAAAAAUAGCUUAAUUUGCUGCAGAUCACGUGUUACCAAUUAUUUAAGGUAAUUCUCGUUUACUUGCUUCUACACUAUAGAGUACGUGUUCUGGCUGGUUUAUCUAAUUCAUCAAAUGUUAUUUCCUUAUUGUUCCAUUGAUAUAUUUGUUAGAAAAUGAAACCAUUUCCAGGCAGCAGUUGGCAGUGAAUUCAUGCAAAUGUUGAUGCCAUUCAUAGAUAUUGAAGAUAAUGAUGAGCCAAAGGUGAUAAAUCAUUAAUGCAUAGUUACCAAAACCUCCAUCCUUCUCUCAUUGUAAUUUGAUUUGAAAUGAAUAAUUGCUAGGUAAUUGAAGCCAAUAUUGUUAGAAACGGUGUUGAGCUACCCAAGCUAAGAAGUUAGCUGCCAAAAAAUGCAGGGGAUCAAAAGAAGCAUUGCAGUGCUACAAUGCUGCUACUGGGAAAUUUAAAUCCCAUAUUAGACUUUCCUCACAUCAGAAGCUGUGGAUCUUCGGACAUCAGGUUUUUUCACAGUUCUUAAACUCUCAGGAUUAAACUCUAUUAAAGUUGUUGUAGUUGUCUACGUUCUCAGGUCAAGGAUUCUAAGCUGCCGAUUAAGGCAAAAUAUCAGAAUUCCCCUAUUAUUAUUUUUUUUCAUGUAAAUUUAUGUUGUUGUCUUCGCCCAUGAAUCUUAGCAAAAUUCUGAACCAAUUGUUUGCUAUUAUAAAUUUCAUUGUUAAAUAUUAAUUGUGAUGUUGGUGUUGAGUUUCUUUUAAAGUCACAGAAGCCUGACGAUUGAGUUCCGUGGGACUCUGAGAAGCAGUAAUAUUUUGAACAAGUGAAGGUUCUUCGUUUUUAAUUAUGUUCUGCACUUUUACAGUAUGUGCAGAUGUCUAAGAGGCAGGAUUUUAAUUUCUGUAAUGCUAAAUUUCGCAAAACAAUAAAAAAAAUAAAUGCAUGACAGUGACUUCAAGAAUUUAGAUUAUUGAAUUUGGCCAUUUCAAAAUUGAACCAGAGCUCAGAAAUGUAGAAUAUAAAUAUUGGAGAUUUGAACUUCAAUCAUUAGAUUUGAAGCUAAAGAGGUAAGCCAUUAAUUACAUCAAAUGAUUUGGAAAAUGGAGGAAUUGGAAAAAGGAAACUUUUUCUUUGUCCGAUUCAAGGGGAACGUCACAGAGAGGGGUAAAGAGAAGAGUAGCCUAAGAUAUUAAAGACAAUGUUGAGGCAAAGGAAACAUAAAUCCCAACCAUUGCAUGUGAGCAUGAUCACAAUAAAUCCCAACCAUCCAAACCAUUUUUUUGAGAAUUUUCAAUUGAAAGUGAAACCUUUUGACAUUUACCUAAUAAAGUAAGUUAAACGAGAGAAAUAAAGGGGGGAAAAAAAGUUGACUCAAGUCAAUACAGAAUUAUUAGUUCAACCUGGAGAAACUAAAACAGAGACACUAUAUUUUCAAAAAUAUCUGCAUUCAUCACCUUCUCCAACAGCUAAUGAGCUACACACGAAUCAUUUCCUUUUAGCAUUUUUGCAGCAUCAAUUUAUCCCCUCGUUUGUCAUCAGUUUCUCCCUUCGUUUCACCAAUACCAUGGCUGAUGCAAUCCUUUCCCCUCUCUUGGAGCAGCUGAUUAUCUUCGCUGCUGAAGAGAUGAGACAACAGGGGAAGCUGGUGAGUGUUGGAUGAGCGGAUCACAGCAUGCGCCAAAUUGCAAAUUGAGAGCGGCAUUGAUGACAAUGCUCUUGGUGCUCCUUAUCUGAAGAAGAAGGUAUAUUCCUGCUUUCCUGCUUCUUGCUUUGGUUUCAAACAAGUCUUUCACUGUCAUAACAUUUAUUGUAAUUUCAUUUGGAGAUAUGUAAUAUCUGUUGUCCAGAUAUAUUUCAUACACCAGCUGCUAAUAAUUCUGCUUGAAGAGAACUUGCAAAGGAGCUGUGUGAUGUAAUAGAAGACUAUAGUCUGGUCAAUUUUUUCAACCUUAGAUAUUAGGAAGUUAUGUAUUUCAUUAUCAGUUAUCAUUAUGAUUCUUAUCUUCAAAAAGAUAAAUGGAUGGCUUUGAAUGGCUUGUGUUUGAGGAUUUUAGUUGGACUUAUUUUGAUUGAAGUACUUUUUGACAAUAGAAUUCCUUCAUGAUUUAAACAUUCUUUUUAAAAUCAAAUAAUCAAAAAAAUUAAAUAAAUAAAUAGAGUAACUAACAAAUAUGAUUUUAUUUUGUUAGUGUUUUUCUCAUCAAAUAUACAUAAGAGUACUGUAAUUAAUUGCAACCAAUUUUUCACUAAAUACGCCUACAACAAACUAUUAAUAAUAAAGUGAUAGAAAAAUGCCUAAUUUUUCAUACUUUCUAAUUUCUUUUGGCCCUAAAAUAUAGGUAUUUAUGUCAUAAUAAGCCCAUGUGGAUCUCAAUGCCGAAAGUUCGAUAAAUGGCUUUCAAGGAUUACUUAUUAAGGUGGCGUUUGUUUUUUAACUUAAUGACUUAAAGUGACUUAACUUAAUUAAUUAAGUUAAUUAGAGGUGUUUGUUUUUAUAACUUAAUGAAACUUUUUAGAUAAUUUUGACUUAAUAAAAUAAGCUAAUUUUUUUGGCUUUUUACUUAAUUGAGAAAUAUGAAUUAAGUCAAUUACUUGCUAAUGUCAAAAAUAUCCCUGUUUUAUAAUUUAUUUUUCAUGUCUAUCCCAAAACUCACCCAUAGAUAAUUACCCCACAUAAAAAUAUCCCUAUUUUUUCUUUUUUAUAUUAUAUACGAUAAAAUUUAAAAUUUAUGGUAUUUUAUAUAUUAAAAUUCCAAAAUAAUUAUGUAUUCACUUGAAUAUAGUUUUACUUAUAAAUGUUAAAAUAUUGUGGUAUUUAAUAUAUUAUUUAUUUAACAUUCAAAUUUAAUAAGGAUACAAAUGUAAAAGUACAUAUUUUCAGCUUUUUAAGCUGAAAAAACAAACAACUUAAUACUUAUUUUUCGAGAUUCAGACGAAAAAACAAACAUAUUAUUCAGAUUCAGAUAUUCAGACCUAUUCAGAAUUCAGACUAAUUCAGGUCUACUCAGAUUUCAGAUAAACAAAACAAAUGCCACCUAAGUAAAAAAUAAUUCAAAGGACAAAAUGGUAAAACUAGAAGGGUGGAGUAAUAUGGCUACCUUGGGUUACAUAGUAAGUUGACUACAUUCAAAGUAUAAAAUAUUAGAAACUGAACGGUGGAGUAAUCGUCGUUUAGAUGAAUGAUAUGUCUAAGACGUUGCAUGCAUCAAGAAAAUUGCAGAUGAUUAAACCUUGCCAUCUAUGCGUUGUAUGAGGUUAUAGCAACUAUCUAUCUGGUCACCGUUUUCAAGUCUCAAUUGGUAGUCCAAAGAAAAGAAUGAUUUUGCAAUAGCAUUAAGUGUUAAUUGGACACAAAAGGAAGUGUUUUAACCACUUUAAGGAAAGUAAAUGUAAUUUUCUGUCCUAAAGAAAAGGUAAAUGUAUGCACUUUCAAUUAAUCUUUGGUCGACCAGCAACAUCAUAAUUUCGUUUAGGUUCAUUUUUGUUUCUUAGAGUUUGUAAAAAGAAUGGAAAGAUUUUAAAAUAUAAAUUUCAUAUCUGUUUAUUACUGUUGUUUGGUCUAAUUUCUUAUGUAGAAUUUUCAGAAUCUGUAGGACAUUAGUUUAUAAUUUUGAGAUUUUGCAGCCAUAAAUGUAUUUUUCUUUUUUUGUUGCCAUUUUAUUUUGCUCCUUUAUCUAUGUGCAUGUUGACUGGCUGCAGUGAGUGAAAAUUUACCUAUAUAUGCUGGCUAUUCUUGGACAAUAUUAGAGAAAAUAAUCAUAUUAUUUCGCGUGAUGUGAACUUCCAUAACUUAUCAAUUGAAUUGCUGUAAAAUAUUAAAUAGUUUUAUUUUUCUUUUAUCGUGUAACUUGGACCAAAAAAGGAAAUGAGUUUAACAUGACCCUCAUUCCGGCACUAUGCCUGUUUUUCUUGUAUUGAUGACAGUGCUCUUGGUGCUUCUCAUCUGCUUCUUGCUUUGGUUUCAAACGAGUCUUUCUCCGUCAAGACAUUUAUUGUAAUUUCAUUUGGAGACAUCUAUCGUUCAAUAUAUUUCAUAUGCAAGCUGUUAAUAAUUCUGCUUGCAGAAAGCCUACAAAGCAGCUGUGUGAUUUAAUAGAAGACCAUAGUCUCGUCAAUUUUUCAACAUUAGAUAUUCAGUGUCAUAUUUGGCUGCAUCUAGAAGCCACUGCAUCUAGAAGCCUUGAAUAAGCAAAGUUGGCUUUGACAGCCGGCCAAAGAAAAUGUUGAAGAAUUUGGCAGCAGCAAAUUUGGAAUGAAGAAAAAGAAGAAAGAAGAAAAUAGAAGAAUGAAGACGGUGGUAAAAAUAAUAAUUUAAUAGCCAUUUUUUUGGCUAUAAAAGGCAGAGCUCCUCAUUUCAUUUUGUAUCCAAUUCCAUUCAGAGAGCAAUUUAGGGAGUUGAGAGAGAGUUUGAGAGCUUGCAUUUAUAAGCUCUUGUUACAGUGAUUGAGAGAGUUUGGGUGUAUUGGGGUUUUAGGGAAGUGAGCUAAAAUACUACAAUACUUGUAACUCCUUUUCACUAGUAAAAUAUUUCCUUCUGUCUUCGCCCGUGGAUGUAGGCUAAAAGCCGAACCACGUAAUUUCUGGUGUCCUCUAUUGUGCUGGUUCUUUAUUUUUUCUUCCAAUUUCAUUUUAGCUGCGGUCCUACUUCACCCACCAAUUUCCUAACAGUGGUAUCAGAGCCAGGUUGUAUUUUUUGGAGUCGGGAACUGUUCCGGUCCUACUUCACCCACCAAUUUCCUAACAGUGGUAUCAGAGCCAGGUUGUAUUUUUUGGAGUCGGGAACUGUUCACGUAAGGGGUACUAUUCACGUAUACGGCACCGUACACGUAUAUGAAACUAUUCACGUAUACGGUACUGUUCAUAUAUACGGUGUUGUUUACAUAGACUGUACUAUUCACGUAUAUGGUACUAUUCACGUGAAGCGGUGGAAGCGAUCCAAGAAUUUUACGGUGCAACUAUUCAAGGUGGUACACUAACUUGUGUGCAGUAUUUAUCAACAAAAUGGCGGCAAAGUAUGAAAUUGAGAAAUUUAACAACUAUUCAAGGUGGUACACUAACUUGUGUGCAGUAUUUAUCAACAAAAUGGCGGCAAAGUAUGAAAUUGAGAAAUUUAACGGAAAUAAUUUUUCGUUGUGGAAAAUGAAGAUGAAAGCUGUAUUGAGGAAAAAUAAUUGUUUGGCAGCAAUUGGAGAAAGGCCCAUGGAGAUAACUGAUGACAAGUGGAACGAGGUAGACGGCAAUGCCAUUUCUGAUCUACACUUGGCAGUUGCGGAUGGAGUAUUAUCCAGUGUGGCAGAGAAAAAUACGGCGAAGGAAAUAUGGGAUACUCUCACAAAAUUGUAUGAGGCCAAGUCACUACACAACAAAAUUUUCUUGAAGAGAAAACUCUAUAUUCUUCGAAUGACGGAAUCUACAAUGGUGACCGACCACAUCAACACAUUGAAGACUCUAUUUUCACAACUCACAACGUUGGGUCAUAAUAUAGAGGAAAAUGAACGUGCACAGCUUCUACUUCAAAGUCUACCAGAUUCGUAUGAUCAACUCAUCAUCAACUUGACGAACAACAAUCCAGUGGAGAGUCUAGUUUUCGAUGAUGUUGCAGCCUCCGUAUUAAAUGAGGAGAGCAGGCGGAAAAAUAAGGAAAACAGACAAGCAAGUUCGCAGUAAGCAGAAGCGCUAUCGGUGACGAGAGGGAGUUCAACGGAACGUGGCCCCAGUGGGAGUCAAAAUCAGGGUAGAUCAAAAUCCAGAAGUAAGAAGAAUGUUAAAUGCUACAACUGUGGCAAGAAAGGGCAUGUCAAGAAAGAGUGUUGGAGUAACCAGAAGAGAAGAGAGGGCAAAGAACCUGAGUCAUCAAAUGCUCAGGGGUGUGUAGCAAGUACCUCAGAUGAUGGCGAAAUUCUCUACAGUGAGGCAACAACUAUUUCAGAAGGCAGAAAACGACUUUAUGAUGUCUGGCUUAUAGACUCAGGAGCUACCUAGCACAUGACCUCUAGGAGAGAAUGGUUCCACACAUAUGAACCUAUCUCAGGAGGAUCUGUAUAUAUGGGUAACGAUCAUGCCUUGGAGAUCGCUGGUAUUGGUACUAUCAAAAUAAAAAUGUUUGAUGGUACAAUUCGCACAAUUGGGGAGGUACGACAUGUCAACGGCCUGAAGAAAAAUCUAUUGUCUUUGAGACAAAUAGAUAGUCAUGGGUACAAAACUCAUGUGGAGAAUGGAAUUAUGAAGAUCGUUAAAGGCGCGCUUGUAUUGAUGAAGGCAGAAAAGAUCGGUGCUAAUCUAUACAUGCUUAAAGGAGAAACGCUACAGGAGGCAGAUGCGUGUGUCGCAUCAAAUGGAGAAGAGUCAACGAUGAUGUGGCAUCUCAAACUUGGCCACAUGUCAGAACAAGGUUUGAAGAUUCUCUCUGAGCGAAAAUUGCUUCCGGGGCUCAAAUCGGUAAGUUUACCAUUUUGCGAGCAUUGUGUUACAAGUAAGCAGCAUAGAUUAAAAUUCAGUAGAUCUAUUGCUAGAAGUAAAUGCAUUCUAGACUUGAUUCAUUCUGAUGUUUGGGAAUCACCGGAUAUAUCCAUGGGAGGUGCAAAGUACAUGGUGACUUUCAUUGAUGAUUAUUCCAGAAGAUGUUGGGUGUAUCCAAUUAAGAAAAAGUCAGAUGUAUUUCCAGUGUUUAAAGAAUACAAAGCGCGGGUGGAACUUGAAUCUAGUAAAAAGAUCAAGUGCUUAAGGACGGAUAAUGGUGGAGAGUAUACAGACGGCGAGUUUCUUGCUUUCUGUAAGCAAGAAGGUAUUCAGAGGCAGUUCACGGUGGCAUACACUCCUCAACAAAACGGAGUAGCGGAGCGGAUGAACAGAACUCUUACAGAAAGAAUAAGAGCUAUGUUGAGGACUGCUGGUCUACCCAAUUCAUUCUGGGUAGAAGCAGCAAAAACCGCCUGUUAUAUAGUAAAUCGGUCGCCAUCUACAGCUAUUGGGUUGAAGACAGCGAUGGAGAUGUGGACUGGAAAGCCAGCUGAUUAUUCCUACCUACAUGCAUUUGGAUGUCCUAUGUACGUGAUGUACAAUGCCCAAGAAAGAACAAAGCUGGAUGCAAAAUCUAGAAGAUGUAUCUUCUUGGGGUAUGCUGAUGGAGUAAAGGGGUAUCGUCUGUGGGACCCCACUGCCCACAAGAUCGUCAUCAGCAGAGAUGUUAUCUUUGUAGAAGAUCAACUACAAAGAAAAGAUGGAGAUGAUGGCACUGUAAAAGAAAAGUCAGAGACUGUACCAGUAUAUGUCGAAAAUAAUCUAGAAGAUUCAAAUUCUUCUGAAGUAGCACCAGAGCACGAUGAACAAGAACCAGUCGAGUCCGAGGCUCCAGAAGUUCGUCGGUCAACUCGUGAGAGACGACCGCCGGCGUGGCACUCGGAGUAUGUCACAGAGAUCAACGUUGCAUACUGUCUUCUAACAGAGGAUGAAGAGCCUUCAACUUUCCAUGAAGCUUUAAACAGCUCAGAUGUUGCUUUGUGGAUGACAGCAAUGCCGGAAGAAAUUGAAGCUCUACACAAGAACAAGACAUGGGAACUUGUACCACUACCACACGGAAGAAAAGCCAUUGGAAACAAAUGGGUCUACAAGAUCAAACGUGAUGGCAAUGAUCAAGUGGAGCGGUAUCGUGCGAGAUUGGUGGUGAAAGGAUAUGCUCAGAAAGAAGGUAUUGACUUCAACGAAAUAUUUUCUCCGGUGGUUCGACUCACAACAGUCAGAAUAGUCUUGGCGAUGUGUGCUACAUUUGAUCUACAUCUUGAGCAGUUUGAUGUGAAAACUGCAUUUCUUCAUGGAGAACUUGAAGAAGAAAUAUAUAUGCUCCAACCAGAAGGUUUUGCAGAAACAGGAAAUGAGAACUUGGUUUGCAGGUUGAACAAAUCUCUAUACGGUCUCAAACAGGCGCCGAGGUGUUGGUAUAAGAGAUUUGAUUCCUUCAUCAUGAGCCUUGGAUACAACAGACUCAGUUCAGACCAUUGUGCAUAUUACAAGAGGUUUGAAGAUAAUGAUUUCAUUAUUUUGCUAUUGUAUGUGGAUGACAUGUUGGUAGCAGGUCCCAACAAAGAUCGAAUCCAAGAAUUGAAGGCACAGUUGGCUAGGGAGUUUGAAAUGAAGGACUUGGGACCAGCAAACAAGAUUCUAGGGAUGCAAAUUCACCGAGACAGAAAUAAUAGGAAGAUUUGGCUUUCUCAGAAAAAUUACUUGAAGAAAAUCUUGCGGCGCUUCAACAUGCAAGAUUGUAAGUCAAUUUCUACCCCACUUCUUGUUAAUUUCAAAUUAUCCUCAAGUAUGUGUCCUAGCAAUAAAGUGGAGAGGAAGGAUAUGUCUCGAGUACCGUAUGCAUCAGCAGUGGGAAGUUUGAUGUUCGCUAUGAUAUGUACUAGACCAGACAUUGCACAAGCAGUGGGAGCAGUCAGUCGAUACAUGGCGAAUCCUGGUGGAGAGCAUUGGAUAGCUGUGAAGAGGAUUCUGAGAUACAUCAGAGGAACCUCAGAUGUUGCAUUAUGUUAUGGAGGAUCAGAGUUUACUGUCAGGGGCUAUGUGGAUUCAGAUUUUGCAGGAGAUCUUGAUAAAAGGAAAUCCACUACUGGUUAUGUGUUUACACUUGCGGGAGCAGCUGUAAGCUGGGUUUCGAAACUGCAGACCGUUGUGGCUUUAUCUACAACAGAAGCAGAGUACAUGGCAGCUACACAAGCUUGCAAGGAAGCUAUUUGGAUACAAAGAUUAUUGGAGGAGCUCGGGCACAAACAACAGAAAAUUUCUGUGUAUUGUGACAGUCAGAGUGCCUUGCACAUUGCAAGGAAUCCAGCCUUUCAUUCCAAGACAAAGCACAUAGGAGUUCAGUAUCACUUCAUUCGUGAAGUAGUGGAAGAUGGAAGUGUGGAUUUGCAGAAAAUCCAUAUGAAGGAGAACCUAGCAGAUGUUUUUACCAAGCCAAUAAAUGCUGACAAGUUUAUCUGGAGUAGAUCCUCUUGUGGCCUAGCAGCAACGUAGGCAACAUGAUUAUGGCGAAGCAUAAAGGAUGGUGUGGAGAUUGAUUGAUUCUCAAUCUAAUCUCCAAGUGGGAGAAUGUCAUAUUUGGCUGCAUCUAGAAGCCACUGCAUCUAGAAGCCUUGAAUAAGCAAAGUUGGCUUUGACAGCCGGCCAAAGAAAAUGUUGAAGAAUUUGGCAGCAGCAAAUUUGGAAUGAAGAAAAAGAAGAAAGAAGAAAAUAGAAGAAUGAAGACGGUGGUAAAAAUAAUAAUUUAAUAGCCAUUUUUUUGGCUAUAAAAGGCAGAGCUCCUCAUUUCAUUUUGUAUCCAAUUCCAUUCAGAGAGCAAUUUAGGGAGUUGAGAGAGAGUUUGAGAGCUUGCAUUUAUAAGCUCUUGUUACAAUGAUUGAGAGAGUUUGGGUGUAUUGGGGUUUUAGGGAAGUGAGCUAAAAUACUACAAUACUUGUAACUCCUUUUCACUAGUAAAAUAUUUCCUUCUGUCUUCGCCCGUGGAUGUAGGCUAAAAGCCGAACCACGUAAUUUCUGGUGUCCUCUAUUGUGCUUGUUCUUUAUUUUUCUCCCAAUUUUACUUUAGCUGCGUGUCUGCUUCACCCACCAAUUUCCUAACAUUCAGCUCAUCAGCUUCUCAUGAAUUCUUUCCUGAGUUUCUUUGAAUUAUUUGUGAUGCAAUAACUUGUGCAUUUGAGAAACUGUUCUCUGGAAUUCUUUCUUGAGUUUCUUUGAAUUAUUUGUGAAUAAGUUGUUAAUCGGCUGCUUCUCUUCAAGAUAAGGAAAGUGUUGCAAACUGGUGAAGCAGCUGAUAGAUAAAAGCAAUGCCAGUGUGGUUGAAUUCAGCAAGAUUGGCGUUCGUGAUGCAAACGAGAUUACAUAGUGGUUAAAAGCAAUAAUCAAUGUUUUAACCAUAAAAACUUCUUUCCACCUAUUUUCGGCCUUGUGAUUCUCAUAUCCAUAGAACUUUUUGGUAAUUUAAUCAUAUUUCAUCGUAUGCAUCUGCAUCUUCUAACCAGUGCGUUUGAGAAACUAAUUUUGCUGUUAGGCAGGUUUCAAGCUUGAUUAAUGUAUUUUUCAUAAAUGUACCAAAGUUAUGUAAACCAAAUAAUAAAAAAUAAAUAAAAGGAAAUGAGUUUAAUAUAACCUCCAUUCCAGCACUAUGCACGUUAAUUGUUCCCCAAGGACUCUCCUGAUUCUUAUUCCCAACCUCCAUGCUCUCAAGAGGAGUUUAGCACCCAUCAAUUUUUACUUUUGAAAACUCGUAAUGGUCUGAUAAAAUUAAACAACAUUAAAAAUGUUACCAGUCAUUAAAUAGUAAUUUAUUUAUUUACUUUGCCACCUAAAGGAAUCCUGCUGUAAAUAGAGGUUAAAAAUUUUAUUAGAUCUACUUACCUUUGUUCAUUCAGCAAACACAUACAAUUUACAACUAGUGAAUCUAUCCGUUGACAAUUGUGGAUUAAAAUUAUAACACCUGAAUUCAAACAUAUUUUACGAAGUUAUGAAUUUGUUCAUACUUCAAAUGAUUUUUUUUCCCCAAGCUAAUAAAGCUACCACAUUGAUCAAAUGACGACGUUGAAGGAAUUGCGUAUUUUUCAAUGUCCUUUUCCAGACACACGUUGGAGAGAGGGAAAGAAGAAGACUGGCUUAAUUAAGAUAUCUCACAAAGAUUAUUGAGUUAAAAUGUUAUUGUAAAAGAUGUUUAAUACGAUAAUAGUACUUCUUUUGCAUUGUUAUAAUAAGGUUGGUAGGUUUCCCCAGAGGAUGGAUCUGGCUCGCUAGUCUCCAUUUGGGAAGAUGCUAAUUAUCGGCCAUAAAAAAGUCAAGGGGUUGUGGCUCUUCUGUGGCCCAGAAAUUCCUAAUCUCAUAUCUCAAACUUGGGCAUUAUGUAAAUAUGUAUUUUUGAGAAUUAAACUAUUGCGUAGAAAAAUUUUGAGCCAUUGUAAUCAUUUUAUUUUGCUAAGAGAAAAUUUUACUUUGUGUUUCGAUUUGACUUUUGUUUUGUUUGUGAUAAUAAGAUUCAUACCAAUGUGAUUACACACCUAUCAUGCUUCUAUUUUCAUUUGCUUGUCAUGAUAGAUCAACAUGCUCAAAAAUAUUUAUUUAGGUUGGAAAUAUUUGAAUCCACUAAAAUACUAUACAAACCCAUUUUAAAAUUUUAAAAAAAAUGAUUAUCAUAAUACUCGUGAAGAUAACGCGAUAUCAUACAUAAAAUAAAAUAUUUCGCAAAAAAGAUAGGAUACAAAUCUUAAGUAAGUGGGUAUAAAAAAUAUUUUAGUGAGUUCAAGUAGCACUAAUGCCCCCUUAUCAAAAAAUAUAUAAAAAUAACUAGUCUGAUUGGGUAUACCGUUGGCUAAACUAAAGUUCUGAAGAUAUAUAUAUAUAUAUAUAUAUUGAUAAUUUAUAAUGUACAUUAUAGAGAAAGAUUUUGAAAGUAAUAUUUUUUUAGUAUUAUUAUAUAAUAUUUUGUAAAAAGUAGAGAGAGUGAGCAAAACCAAAUUAAUUUUCUAACCCCCCUCCUUUAGGAUUUAAACUCAUUUUUUAGUGUCGCCGGCCAUUCAAAUUUUCUAGUUGAAUAGGCUAAAUUGCAUGAAAUUGUGCUAGCUUAGCUUGAUUCUAGAAAUUUCCAGUACACUGUAACACAUUCCCACACUUGUACAUAGCUCGAAAUUCUCUAGAAUUUACUAUAGUAGCGUAACAUGUAGCUUGUACAUAGGUUUUUCUAUAACACUCCAGGCAUUACUAGGCAUGAGAGCUCUCACCAAGCUUUGAGAACUCUCUAGACAUAAAACAUUCUAGCGCAAGCCUACCCUAAAAAUAGGGCAUGAAGCUUGCCAUUCGAGCAUACAACAAGUAAGAACAAUUCAAGCAUACUUGUAAGCUCUCAAACUCUCUUAUACACACUCUUGUGAAUAAUAUAAUUUCCCUUUGGCUAUAUUGUUCUCUCUUCUCUCUAGUUUUUUCGAAAGCAUCAUAACUUAGCUAGUCGAAAAAUUCAAGGCUUACUUUGCAACUAUCUCGUAAAAGUUGUUUAAGUACCACAGGAGUUUGCUGUACAAAAUACUCAUCCCGUGACAUUAGUCAAAUAAAAUUGUUUGAAAGCCACUUACCCGGAUAUUAUUCUUUUAAUAUGCAAUCUUUUAAUAUAAACUUUUGUCUUAAUUUUCUAUCUCCUACGAUAAAUUUUAGAAUUUUAAAAAUUUUAAAAAUUAAUAACUAUUAGAUAGAGCAUUUACUGUUAAAAGAAAUCUAUAUAGAUAUAUAGAUACAUAGUAAUAUAAAAACUUACUACAAUAUAAUGUUUUUAGUUUCUUAUUUUUUCAAGAUAAAAUUCAAAGACACAAGUUAAAUGUUGUGGAAAAUCUUCCACCCAUACAAGAAAUCGUCACAGCUAAAUGCAAACCGAGCUAAAGUAUUAGUUGUUUUAUUACAAUCUCUAAAAAGAUGAGCGAUUCCAAAAUCUUUCUUUGUAACAAUAAGCACUACAGUUCAGCAACUAUCCAAGUCAAAAGCAACUCAAUGUGAGUGCUAAGCUAAAUCAAUUUCAUUAACAAAUUAGAUGCCAAAGAGCAAGGCUUCGUCCUCAAUUAUAUUGACAUUAUCUGAGUAAACUCUAAAUACCACAAUCAACCCCAAAAAACAUGACUAACUAUUGUGUUUAAAAUAAAUUUUUUUUUUUUUAGAUAUCCGUUGGUAGUAUCUCUUUAGAUGAAUAUAGGAGAUAAAAUAAAUAAAUAUUUAUUGUGUAAAUAAAAAUAAAUAAAUUUUUUUGAACGGAAAAAAUUCCCAAGAACUAAAUUGUUCAAACGUUUUUUAACAUCAUGUGUUUCUAAUAAUUUAGGGUUGGGCAUUCAGUUCGGUUUUUACCGAACUGAACAACUAAAUUAAAUUGAAAUUACCCUAUUCGGUUCAAUUGAAUAGACAAAAACUAGAGCUGGCAAAACGGGUCAUCGGGUCGUGUUCAUGUCGUGUCAGUUUCGUAUCGUGUCAAAUUUAGUUCAACCCAAACCCGACCCAUUUAAUAAUCAUGUCAAAAUAUUGAGACCCAAACCCGAUACGGAAAAAUAAUCGGGUCACCCAAUAACCCGCUGAAUAUCUAUAUAUUUAACAAAAGUUACAUCAAAUAUUUACACAUUAUCAUACAUGCGUAUGUACAUACAUAAUUUAUCGAUAUUAUAAAAUAUACAUAUCUACCAAAAUAUUACACAUUUACACUAUUGAGGUUUUAAUUAAUUAUAUAUAUAUAUAAUAUUAUAUAUUAAUAUUAUAAAAUAUACAUAUCUACCAAUAUUUUAUACAUUUACACUAUUGAAACUCUAAAUGUGUUUAAAAUUUUAUAAAUAAAAUAUUGUACUUAUAUUCAUCCUUUUAAAGAAUAUAAAUAAAAGAGAAAAUCAUCUCUAAUAUUUAAGUUUUGAUGACAAAAACCUACAAAUUAUUUUAAAAUAGAAAAUAUAAUCGGGUCAUUAGUCGGGUAAAUGGGUCAAUAAUUUUAACCCUAACCCGACACGGAAAAAAAUCGUGUCGACCCGAACCCGACCCAUUUAAUAAUCGUGUUAAAUUCAACGACCCAUACCCAUUUAUUUGUGUCGUGUUCGUAUCGAGUAAUCGGAUCGUGUCAAAUUUUGCCAGCUCUAACAAAAACCGAACAGUUUAUAUUUUUAUGAAUUGAAUGAUUUGUAUUUUAGUUUAGUUCGGUUCGGUUCUGGAUCUAAACCGAACCGAACCGUAAACCGUAAACUGCCCACCCUUAAAGUUUCCAUUAACCGCCGUUGCAUUGCUCAAAUCACAGUCUCUCGCUUUCAGCUCAGUCAGAGUUUCCAGGUCCAGAGACUUGCCGCUGACUGAGAGCUUUUUAGUAGCAGGUCUACAAAUAAUGGAAUAGAGCUGAUUUAAUGAUUAAUUUAUUUCCUUUUUCAAUUUCUUUUGAUUGCCAUGUAAUCUGGAUAAGUUAAACGUGAAUUGUUUAGUGCAGAUUAAAUGUUCGACGAAUUUCCCGCAAGAAUAUUAAGUUAAAGAGAAAAAAAGAAAACAAUUGAGCGUGAGCGAGAAUGGUGUUUGGCCAAGUGGUGAUUGGUCCGCUCGGCUCGGGAAAGCCCACUUACUGCAAUGGCAUGUCUUAGUUUCUCAGCCUUGUUGGCAGGUAACUUCGUUUCUUGAUUUCAAGCAGCUUUCUCUUUGAUGGCCAAAAAUAUUGAUUUGGGCUUUGCCCUUUAAAUUAAUGUAAGAGCGGUAGGGAAUAAUCGAGUUAUAGUCUUAGCUUUAAGUGAACAUUGAUGAUAACAUGCAUGUGAAGGUUGUAUGUGUUCAGCGGCAAGUUGUAUGCCAAUUUGGUCUAUAUGGUUUUUUUGUUGGUAACUUAUUAAUUUUUAUGCAGGAAGGUUACAGUCAUCAAUUUGGAUCCUGCUAGUGAUAGUUUGUCGUAUCCUUUGUCAGAACCUUUUUACAAAUGCUGUGGUUUGUUGUACUAUAAUUAGUUCAAUCGGAAACUUCCUUGAUGUUAAUAUAGAUAUGAGUGUGCUGUGAAUAUUGAGGACCUCAUUAGACUAAGUGAUGUGAUGAAGGAGCAUUCACUUGGUCCCGAUGGAGGUUAGUCAUCCUAUUGUUGUUUACUCUUUCUUGCUUUAUCACGCAAUGAUAUUCCUUUGCUUUACAAAAAAUUUCAUGAAAUUAACUUCAAUCAAGUGGCUACCUGUUGAGAUUUUAUGGAUAAUGAUUUGGUAGAGUUUAUAUGCCCUCUUCUUUCUUUUUGCAGUGAUAUGUUUGUAUUCAAUGUGCUUGUACUUAUUCUACGAUUUCUAACGUAGGUGUUUUUAUGAUAAACUAGGUCUUGUGUAUUGUAUGGACUAUCUAGAGAAGAUUAUUGACUGGUUGCAGUCGAAAUUGGAACCACUUUUGAAAGGUAAGAAGAGGCCAUUUUGCUUCAUUCUAAUGCCAAUAAUGCUGUCAUGAGACUCAUAAAAAUUGUUAAAACGUUAAUGUUUUUGGUAUUUUGCAGAUCAUUAUCUUCUGUUUGAUUUUCCUGGCCAAGUUGAAUUAUAUUUUCUUCAUUCCAAUGCCAAGAAUGUUAUAUGAGACUCAUAAAGAAGUUAAAUCUCAGGGUAUUGUUACAUCUUACAUAUAUGAAGGGACUCAAAGAGUUGAGAUGAAUUCAUCUUUGUUAUUUUGAUGCCAGAAUUGUGCAAUUCUCAGUUGGUUCCUUUCACAUGCAGUUGACUGCAGUGCAUCUAGUUGAUGCGCAUCUUUGCAGUUGUUUCUAAAGCUGGUACAUUUAAGAUACCUUAAUUUGUCUUUUCAGAAAAUAGUGAAACUACCGGAGACAUUAUGUGAGUUAUAUAAUCUAGAAAAGUUAGAUAUUACUCAUUGUGAGUAUCUUGAAGAAUUACCUGAAGGGAUUGGGAAGUUAAUAAACAUGAGGCAUUUACUAAAUAAAGGUACUAAUUCUUUAAGGUACAUGCCAGUAGGGAUUGGGAGAUUAACGGGUCUUAGGACCUUGGGUGAGUUCCAUGUGAGUGGAAGAGGAGGUGUUGAUGGUAGGAAAGCAUGUAGGCUUGAAUCUCUUAAAAGCUUGGAACACCUUCAAGUAUGUGGUAUAUGUAGACUGGGUGAUGUAUCAGAUGUGGGCGAGGCUAAGCGAUUAGAACUUGACAAAAAGAAAUACCUCUCUUGUUUGAGACUUCGAUUAGAACGAAGACAAUCAACUACUUCUUGAAGCCCUGCGACCACCUCUGGAUUUAAAGGAAUUAGAGAUACAGUUCUACCGAGGCAACACUGUUUUCCCCAGCUGGAUGACGUCAUUAACCAACUUAAAGAGUUUAGAUCUCUCUUUCUGCGAAAAUUGCUAGCAGCUGCCUCCUUUGGGAAAAUUGUCAUCCCUUGAA